UGGUGAUGAUGAUAAAACUUAGGCUUGUUUCUCAAAACAUUCGCAGUUGCCGCCUAAGAGCUUUCGCCCUGCCAGGCUUGAGAGCUAAUGCUGCUAAUUCCUUCCUUGGAUGUCUGAGCCA
RNAcentral lists this small nucleolar RNA (121 nucleotides) under Triticum aestivum (bread wheat). Its description in RNAcentral is "Small nucleolar RNA SNORD14". It matches the Rfam family "Small nucleolar RNA SNORD14". Rfam says of the family: U14 small nucleolar RNA (U14 snoRNA) is required for early cleavages of eukaryotic precursor rRNAs. The record is from Rfam by way of RNAcentral. Lineage: Eukaryota; Viridiplantae; Streptophyta; Magnoliopsida; Poales; Poaceae. RNAcentral also lists the same sequence under 1 other name.